This 229-nucleotide ribosomal RNA is filed under the name uncultured bacterium. Its description in RNAcentral is "partial 16S ribosomal RNA". It matches the Rfam family "Bacterial small subunit ribosomal RNA", at positions 568 to 796 of the family's 1533-position model. The record is from RNAcentral.
UACGUAGGCGGAAAAUUAAGUCAGUAGUGAAAUCCCGCAGCUUAACUGUGGAACUGUUAUUGAUACUGGUUUUCUUGAAUAUAGUUGAGGUAGGCGGAAUGUGUAAUGUAGCGGUGAAAUGCUUAGAUAUUACACAGAACACCGAUUGCGAAGGCAGUUUAUUAAGUUAUGAUUGACGCUGAGGUACGAAAGCGUGGGGAGCGAACAGGAUUAGAUACCCUGGUAGUCC